GCCACCUUAGCUCAGUUGGCUAGAGCAACGGUUUUGUAAACCGUAGGUCAAGGGUUCGAAUCCCUUAGGUGGCUCCA
RNAcentral lists this transfer RNA (77 nucleotides) under Candidatus Uhrbacteria bacterium. Its description in RNAcentral is "tRNA-Thr". It matches the Rfam family "tRNA". From Rfam's summary of the family: Transfer RNA (tRNA) molecules are approximately 80 nucleotides in length. Their secondary structure includes four short double-helical elements and three loops (D, anti-codon, and T loops). The record is from RNAcentral. Lineage: Bacteria; Candidatus Uhriibacteriota.